GUGGGGAAUAUUGCACAAUGGGGGAAACCCUGAUGCAGCGACGCCGCGUGAGCGAAGAAGUAUUUCGGUAUGUAAAGCUCUAUCAGCAGGGAAGAAAAUGACGGUACCUGACCAAGAAGCCCCGGCUAACUACGUGCCAGCAGCCGCGGUAAUACGUAGGGGGCAAGCGUUAUCCGGAUUUACUGGGUGUAAAGGGAGCGUAGACGGAGUGGCAAGUCUGAUGUGAAAACCCGGGGCUCAACCCCGGGACUGCAUUGGAAACUGUCAAUCUGGAGUACCGGAGAGGUAAGCGGAAUUCCUAGUGUAGCGGUGAAAUGCGUAGAUAUUAGGAGGAACACCAGUGGCGAAGGCGGCUUACUGGACGGUAACUGACGUUGAGGCUCGAAAGCGUGGGGAGCAAACAGGAUUAGAUACCCUAGUAGUCC
This 425-nucleotide ribosomal RNA is filed under the name uncultured bacterium. RNAcentral describes it as "bacterial SSU rRNA". It matches the Rfam family "Bacterial small subunit ribosomal RNA", at positions 354 to 796 of the family's 1533-position model. The record is from RNAcentral.